AGAGUGUAGGCGAGGCGGUUGCGGAUGAUGAGCCUGUGCUUGCUUGGGCUGGCUGUGGCCGGUUCAAGGGGCGAUCGGUCGUCAUCUGAGGAAAGUCCGGGCUUCCGAAAGACCAGGCUUGCUGGGUAACGCCCAGUGCGAGCGAUCGUGAGGAUAGUGCCACAGAAAAAUACCGCCGAGCCACCGAGCCGCUUAAAAAUUCCCCACCCAAACUGUCCCACUUUGCUGCGGCAGAAGAUUGUUUUCGGUGACUGAAUUGUUAACGGCUCUGGCUCGGUAAGGGUGCAAAGGUGCGGUAAGAGCGCACCAGCAGCAUCGAGAGGUGCUGGCUCGGUAAACCCCGGCCGGAAGCAAGGUGAGGGGCAAGGGUUGGUCUUUUUCCUGUCCCGCUUUGAGAACCGCUUGAGGCGAUCGGUAACGAUCGUCCCAGAUAGAUAACCGCCCAUUGAUUGGCCCUUGGCGUGCGGCUUGCUGUGCUCCGAGGCCAAUUGAGGACAGAACCCGGCUUACGUCCUGCCUCUCCUU
Non-coding RNA from Limnothrix sp. P13C2, 525 nucleotides. NCBI's taxonomy places the organism in Bacteria, Bacillati, Cyanobacteriota, Cyanophyceae, Pseudanabaenales, Pseudanabaenaceae. The record is from Rfam.